Non-coding RNA from Paramuricea clavata, 655 nucleotides. The record is from the annotation of a GenBank genome assembly. Lineage: Eukaryota; Metazoa; Cnidaria; Anthozoa; Malacalcyonacea; Plexauridae.
UGAAAUUUUGUUUGACUCAAAAAGUAGAAGACAAAAACAACUGAACAUGAUUACGUAAUUGAUAUGUUUGUAAUAUUUCGUCCAAUUGCAACGAGGAAUGAUGACGUGUGCAUACGCCUUUAUCCAAUCAGAUUAAAGAAAUACAGCGAUAGCACACGUCAGCAAGUUGUUCCUAAAUUUUUAUAAACUUUUUAAUUAUUUCAUUUGCGACUUGCGAGAAUUUUUCUACAGCCACAGAAUAGGAAGGUAUACGAGAAGUCUCACUCAAGCAAGUAUUUGUCCGCGUUUUUACAAGCGAUUCGUCAUCAAUCACGCCAUCCUGGCUAGUACAACCGGCACUUUGUACCUACCAAAACCUUAUAAAAACUUCCGGCUGUACUAGCCAGGAUGGCGUGAGUGAGUUAAAAUUUUCGUGGACGUAAACACCGACUCAAGUUACAGUUCUCUGCUAUACUUUCCUAUUUUGUGCUACAGCUGUCCAUUUCAACUCAUCUAAUUUUAUUCAUCAGAAAUAGCUGUAUAGACGGCUAAAUGCGGCAAAAUAAUAAUUUUGAUACAAACAUCUCCAUUGUUAAAUAUUCAUAUAUAGAGCGAUAAUAUAAUUGAGGAAACUGCUUUUCACGGCCGAAUUAGCCAAACAAUAAACAAAGUCUGU